AGGAAAAGUCUUUGUCCACAGUUGUCAUUUUACAUUACCUAACGGGUUUGAUACACAAAUACAACAGACAGUUCCUUAUGGCUAUACAUGGAAAGGGGUAAUCAGUAAUCAUAAUAACGUAGCAGAGUAAGUAAAGAUAAUAGCAUGUUCUUCAAUAAGAUGUUCCACAUGUUUUGGUGGUAUAUAACAUUUUUUAAAACAUGAAAAGACACUUGUCUAUACAAUUUUUAUGACACAAAAUAAAAUAAAGCACUGCUUAAAGCCUAACAACAAUUUGGUCGACAAACUUUUGAUGACCACGACAAAAUAAGAUGGAUAGAAAAUGUCUAAAAGAGCAUCACAAUAAUUAUAGUAAAUACCAGUAAAUAGUGAGCAAUUUGUUUCACACUAUAAUCUUUGUGUUAUAAAACAUACCUUACAAGUUAGAUGUAUUGAAUGCCAGUUGUUUCUGUAAUCUCAACGUCUAAUCGUGAAAAAAGAAACUUUACCAGUUAUUACUUUACUAAAUUAGUAUGCAGUCUUUUUCGUAAUGUUAACGCAUAUUCACAACGAGGUUUACGCAAUACAUUUAAAGAGUAUUAAAGAAAAGAAAAUUUCGGAAAACAAGUUUUUAAAUUUGUUAUAUUAUGACAACGUGGAAAGCACAAAGCGAUUGAAUAUUAUUCAAAGUAAACUUUGUGUUAUGUUGCAAUUUGUUUGAAAAGAAAAUGAAAAUUAAAUAAAUACUAUAUACAAUAGGAUUGUUAAUAACCAGCCGAAUGCUUGAAACGAUCAAAGUAAAUAUAAAGACCAAUCUUCAAUCUCUUUCAAAGAUUAUAAAAGUACAAUUGUUUAUAUUUCAGGGACCGCCAGUUUGUCUUCCUACUUUGCCGAUUGAGCACAUAACGAAUUAAUAAAAUAAUUUGGUAUACAUUUCAAGACACACAUGUGUUCGUUCGUUUUUCCUUGAAUAUAAACAUAUACUCCUGCCAAAUAUAAAUCAGAGUUAAGACUGAACGGCAACAAUGGCAUUUACCCUCUUUCAAAUAGGUAAUUGAAAAUGUUUGACAA
This 1050-nucleotide long non-coding RNA is filed under the name Mytilus galloprovincialis (Mediterranean mussel). The record is from RNAcentral. Lineage: Eukaryota; Metazoa; Mollusca; Bivalvia; Mytilida; Mytilidae.